GCCAACUUGUUGUAGUGGUUUGAGUGUUGGACUAUGACUCUGGAGACCAGGGUUCAAAUCUCUGAACAGCCA
Non-coding RNA from Phrynosoma platyrhinos (Desert horned lizard), 72 nucleotides. Lineage: Eukaryota; Metazoa; Chordata; Lepidosauria; Squamata; Phrynosomatidae. The record is from the annotation of a GenBank genome assembly.